GCCUCCAUAGCUCAGCUGGCCAGAGCACGUGAUUUGUAAUCUCGGGGUCGUGGGUUCGAAUCCCUCUGGAGGCUCCA
RNAcentral lists this transfer RNA (77 nucleotides) under Chryseobacterium hagamense. RNAcentral's name for it is "tRNA-Thr". It matches the Rfam family "tRNA". Rfam says of the family: Transfer RNA (tRNA) molecules are approximately 80 nucleotides in length. Their secondary structure includes four short double-helical elements and three loops (D, anti-codon, and T loops). RNAcentral also lists the same sequence under 3 other names. Lineage: Bacteria; Pseudomonadati; Bacteroidota; Flavobacteriia; Flavobacteriales; Weeksellaceae. The record is from RNAcentral.